This 253-nucleotide ribosomal RNA is filed under the name uncultured bacterium. RNAcentral describes it as "partial 16S ribosomal RNA". It matches the Rfam family "Bacterial small subunit ribosomal RNA", at positions 524 to 776 of the family's 1533-position model. The record is from RNAcentral.
UACGGAGGGUGCAAGCGUUAUCCGGAUUCACUGGGUUUAAAGGGUGCGUAGGCGGGUUGGUAAGUCCGUGGUGAAAUCCCGGGGCUUAACUCGGAAACUGCCGUGGAUACUAUUGGUCUUGAAUAUCGUGGAGGUAAGCGGAAUAUGUCAUGUAGCGGUGAAAUGCUUAGAUAUGACAUAGAACACCAAUUGCGUAGGCAGCUUACUACACGAUCAUUGACGCUGAGGCACGAAAGCGUGGGGAGCAAACAGG